RNAcentral lists this ribosomal RNA (415 nucleotides) under Pauesia pinicollis. RNAcentral describes it as "partial 16S ribosomal RNA". The record is from RNAcentral. Lineage: Eukaryota; Metazoa; Arthropoda; Insecta; Hymenoptera; Braconidae.
UUACGCUGUUAUCCCUAAGGUAAUUUAUUUUAUUAUUCUAAAAUUUAGGAUUAAAAAUUCAUUAAUUAAUGUAAAAUUUAUUUAAAAGUUUAUUUAAUUAUAAAAUUACCCCAAUUAAAUAUUAAUUUUAAUUUAUAAUUUAAUUUAUAUAGUUUUAAUUUAAAUUAAUAUAAAAUUCUAUAGGGUCUUCUCGUCUUUUAAUAAUAUUUAAGAAUUUUAACUUAAAAUUUAAAUUUAAUUUAUUUUUUUUAUAAAGAUUAUAUCUCAUUAAAUCUUUCAUUCUAGUUUUUAAUUAAAAAACUAAUUAUUAUGCUACCUUUGUACAGUUAUUGAUACUGCAGCCAUUAAAAAUUUUUCAUUGGGCAGAUUUGACUUAAAAUUAUUUUCAAUAAGACAUGUUUUUGUUAAACAGGCG